AUUGAACGCUGGCGGAAUGCUUUACACAUGCCAGUCGAACGGCAGCACGGGGGCAGCCCUGGUGGCGAGUGGCGAACGGGUGAGUAAUACAUCGGAACGUGCCCGGUCGUGGGGGAUAACGUAGCGAAAGUUACGCUAAUACCGUAUACGAUCUGAGGAUGAAAGCGGGGGACCUUCGGGCCUCGCGCGAUCGGAGCGGCCGAUGUCAGAUUAGGUAGUUGGUGGGGUAAAGGCCUACCAAGCCGACGAUCUGUAGCUGGUCUGAGAGGACGACCAGCCACACUGGGACUGAGACACGGCCCAGACUCCUACGGGAGGCAGCAGUGGGGAAUUUUGGACAAUGGGCGCAAGCCUGAUCCAGCCAUUCCGCGUGCAGGACGAAGGCCUUCGGGUUGUAAACUGCUUUUGUACGGAACGAAAAGGCUCUGGCUAAUACCUGGGGCUCAUGACGGUACCGUAAGAAUAAGCACCGGCUAACUACGUG
Molecule: ribosomal RNA, 484 nt
Filed under: uncultured bacterium
Lineage: Bacteria
Description: partial 16S ribosomal RNA
Rfam family: Bacterial small subunit ribosomal RNA
Source: RNAcentral